AGUACGUGAAACUGCUUAGAGGUUAAGCCCGAUGAACCUAAAUAUCCAUUAUGGAAAAUUCAUCACUAAUAAUAUAAUAUUUAUAAUAUUAUAUAAAUGGUGUGCAAUUUUUCCAUAUAAGGACAUUGUAAUCUGUUAAUGUAAUAAAUAUUUAUUAAAAGAUCUUAUACAUAAGUUUAUUCAAAUUAGUUAUUUUCGGAUUUCUAACAUAGAAUAAAUGUAUUUGAUUUAAUAAAUCAUUGACAGAUUUAAUUAUAAUAUAGUGCUUAAAUUUUGAAAGAAAUUUUACAAUAAUAUAAUAAUUCAUUUUAUUAUAUUUAUUGUAUGCGCUUAUAUGAUUAACAAUGCGAUAGAUUUAGGAUACCUUCGGGACCCGUCUUGAAACACGGACCAAGGAGUCUAACAUAUGUGCAAGUCAUUGGGUAUUUUUAAUAAAACUCAAUGGCAUAAUUAACUUAACUGUUUAUGGGAUUAGUUUAUAUUUUAUUAUGAAAUAUUAAUUCAAUCCCGGGGCGUUCUAUAUAGUUAUGUAUAAUAAUAUUUAUAUUAUUUAUGCCUCUAACU
Molecule: ribosomal RNA, 564 nt
Filed under: Cheilosia formosana
Lineage: Eukaryota; Metazoa; Arthropoda; Insecta; Diptera; Syrphidae
Description: partial 28S large subunit ribosomal RNA
Source: RNAcentral